AGUGAACGCUGGCGGUAGGCCUAACACAUGCAAGUCGAACGGCAGCACAGUAAGAGCUUGCUCUUACGGGUGGCGAGUGGCGGACGGGUGAGGAAUACAUCGGAAUCUACUUUUUCGUGGGGGAUAACGUAGGGAAACUUACGCUAAUACCGCAUACGACCUACGGGUGAAAGCAGGGGAUCUUCGGACCUUGCGCGAUUGAAUGAGCCGAUGUCGGAUUAGCUAGUUGGCGGGGUAAAGGCCCACCAAGGCGACGAUCCGUAGCUGGUCUGAGAGGAUGAUCCGCCACCCUGGAACUGAGACACGGUCCCGACCCCUACGGGAGGCAGCGGGGGGGAAUAUUGGAAAAUGGGCGCAAGCCUGAUCCGGCCAUACCGCGUGGGUGAAGAAGGCCUUCGGGUUGUAAAGCCCUUUUGUUGGGAAAGAAAAGCAGCAGGUUAAUCCCCCGCUGUUCUGACGGUACCCAAAAAAUAAGCACCGGCUAACUUCGU
RNAcentral lists this ribosomal RNA (491 nucleotides) under uncultured bacterium. RNAcentral's name for it is "partial 16S ribosomal RNA". It matches the Rfam family "Bacterial small subunit ribosomal RNA", at positions 29 to 506 of the family's 1533-position model. The record is from RNAcentral.